GACGAACGCUGGCGGCGUGCUUAACACAUGCAAGUCGAACGGAAAGGCCUCUUUCGGGGGGUACUCGAGUGGCGAACGGGUGAGUAACACGUGAGUAACCUGCCCUUGACUUUGGGAUAACUUCAGGAAACUGGGGCUAAUACCGGAUAGGCGCUCCUGCUGCAGGGUGGGGGCUGGAAAGUUUCGGCGGUUGGGGAUGGAGUGGCGGCGUAUGCGCUUAUUGGUGGGGUAGUGGCUUACCGAGGCGUUGCCGGGUAGCGUGCCUGAGGGGGUGACCGGCGACCCAGGCACUGAGAGGCGGCCCAGACUCCGACGGGAGGAAGCAGGGGGGAAGAUUGCACAAUGGGUGGAGGGCUGAUGCAGCAACGCCGUGGGCGGGAUGACGGCCUUCGGGUUGUAAACCGCUUUCGCUCAUGACGAAGCUUUGUGUGACGGUAGUGGGUAAAGAAGCACCGGCUAACUACGUG
RNAcentral lists this ribosomal RNA (467 nucleotides) under uncultured bacterium. RNAcentral's name for it is "partial 16S ribosomal RNA". It matches the Rfam family "Bacterial small subunit ribosomal RNA", at positions 28 to 507 of the family's 1533-position model. The record is from RNAcentral.